Molecule: long non-coding RNA, 916 nt
Filed under: Setaria italica (foxtail millet)
Lineage: Eukaryota; Viridiplantae; Streptophyta; Magnoliopsida; Poales; Poaceae
Description: long non-coding RNA (SITA_LNC006902)
Source: RNAcentral
GUAGGAAUGUCCAUCACUUAGCACAUCCUUCAACUCAGUUCUUGGCCGGAGGGUGGUAGAUCGGAGUCGGGGACCCAUACGUGGGCGUGGGUGAACUGUAUUUAGGCGUUGGGGGGUGGUAUUCUGGCUGAGGUUUGGGCUCCGGCUUUGGCUUAGGAGGCACUGGUUUCUUGUGGAAGUGGUCAAAGAAGUGGUGGUGCUCAUGAUCCUUGUGGAAGUGGUCAAGCCAGUGCUUCUUGUUGAACAAGUCUUUAGCAGGAGGAUGGUAGAUUGGAGUAGGAGACCCAUAUGUAGGUGUUGGGGGGUGGUACUCUGGCUGCGGCUUGGGCUCUGGCUUCGGUGGAACAGGCUUCUUGUGGAAGUGGUCGAAGAGUUGGUGGUGGUCGUGGUCCUUGUGGAAGUGACCAAGCAACUUGGCAAACAAGUGCCUAGCUGGAGGGUGGUAGAUUGGUGUAGGAGACCCGUAUGUGGGUGUUGGCGACCCAUAUGUUGGCGUUGGGGGAUGGUACUCUGGCUGAGGCUUGGGCUCUGGUUUGGGCUGCGGCUUAGGUUCCGGCUUCGGCUUUGGCGGUAUGGGCUUCUUGUGGAAGUGGUCGAAGAAGUGGUGGUGAUCGUGGUCCUUGUGGAAGUGACCAAGCAACUUGGCAAACAAGUGCCUAGCUGGAGGGUGGUAGAUCGGUGUCGGAGACCCGUAUGUUGGUGUUGGGGGAUGGUACUCUGGCUGAGGCUUAGGCUCUGGCUUCGGCUGCGGCUUAGGUUCCGGCUUCGGCUUCGGCGGCAUGGGCUUCUUGUGGAAAUGGUCAAAGAAGUGGUGGUGGUCGUGGUUCUUAUGGAAGUGAUCAAACAAGUGCUUCUUGUCGAACAACUGCCUUGCUGGAGGAUGGUAGAUCGGAGUUGGGGAUCCAUAUGUGGGCAU